Molecule: long non-coding RNA, 1643 nt
Filed under: Triticum aestivum (bread wheat)
Lineage: Eukaryota; Viridiplantae; Streptophyta; Magnoliopsida; Poales; Poaceae
Description: long non-coding RNA (TAES_LNC010325)
Source: RNAcentral
GGCCGUGGAAGGUAGGCUCGCUGGCCGGAGCAACUGCAAUAGUUGUUGGUCGGCCCGACGCAGUGCCUCAGCCCCGCCUCCUCUGUUGCAGCACACACGCAUGAGAGGGGCAGAUGUGUCGUCACUGGUGGCAAGUUCAGCGGCCGCCGCCUCCUCUUUUCUUCAAAUCCAGUAAGCCCUCUCGUGAGUGCAUAAGGGGAUGUCGUGCCCUCGAGUCCUCAACUACGGUGAAGCACCAGGUCCACAUGAGCUCCUCCUUCAAUCUGCGUGCCUGAUUUCUUAAUUUUUCAUGAAUGCACAUAGCUGAAGACAGUGGCGGAGCCAGAAAUUUCUUCCUUGGUAAUCAUUUGUGCAAUUUUAUAUCAAUAUGACAACAAAUAUACAGCAAGCCAGUAGCAGCAUACAAAUGGAUCGAACAAUUCUUUAGUAUUUCAUGGAAGUCCGGGGAAGACCCCUAGCGCCGCCACUGUCUGAAGAUUUUUUGGUUCCCUCAUCUAGAUUUCUUCUGAAGUGUGCAGGUUGUUAUUCCUUAUCAAGGAGAGCCUUAAUCAACCACACAAGAAUUUGGAUUGAAAUGAGACAGAUUCCCUAUACUAUAUUCCCUAGCCAAAUAUAGUUCAGAGGUUGAAUGAACAUUACUGCUACAAAUUUGGCUAGGGAAUCUGUCUCAUUUUAAUAUUGCAAUGAAGUGGUUGGGAUGGAGAGGAUUUUUUACUUGUCUAAGGUAAUAUUUGUUAGGUCUAUUCCUGCCAAAAAAUGUACUAAAUGUUUGUUAGUGUCCUCUUCUUUAAUUGGUUUAUAUAUUCAACUUGAUUCCUUAGCAUUCAAAUGGAAUAUACUAAAUUGGCUUUCACCUUUUUGUCCACUACUCACAGAUAUCACAAGAAGCAUCAAUGUUUUCUUAGCAUUCAAAUCGACAUUCAUGGGAUCACUUAUGGCCACAUGUAUACUAGUUGCAAUUAAUAUUGCUUUCUCAAAUUCUGAUAUCUAAAGCCUGUACUGCCUGAACAAAUCAAUGGGCUUAUAUACAUUCUGAUAUAUAUUUUCUAAAUACAUCUGUAGAUUCCCAUACCCUUUUUAGAUCCAAUUGUAAUUGUUUUGCAUUUGUCUUUGGAUUGUUUUUAUACACCCCAAGGUAAUAUUCAAGGACAACCAAGCAUUCAAGCUUAGGGAUGCCCAGGAUGGCAUCCCCUCUUUUGUCUUCGUUUCAUCGGUAAAUUUACUUCAGGCUAUAUUUUUAUUCACCACACGAUAUGUGUUUUGCUUGGAGCGUCUUGUAUGAUAUGAGUAUUUGGUUUUAGUUUACCAUAAUCGUUCUUGAUGUACACACUUUUUGAGAGGGACACACAUGAAUCGUGAAUUUAUUAGAAUACUCUAUGUGCUUCACUUAUAUCUUGAGCUAGCACUACAAAAAAAUACACUUCCAUGAUGAUACGUGUUUGUCACAGUAGGUCACAUUUUCUGUCAUGAAUGUACAUCCAUGAAAAUUUUAUGACAGAAUAAAGAUAGUCAUACUCAUGCCGUCGUAGAAGUGUUCCAUUACAUUACCAGAAUUGUCAUCACUGAAGUGUCCACUUCCAUGACGAUAAAUGGCGCGUCAUGGAAGUGCUUUCGUCAAGGGUGACCGACACGUGGCAUCCACC